CAGUAGCCGCGGUAAUACAGAGGGUGCGAGCGUUAAUCGGAUUUACUGGGCGUAAAGCGUGCGUAGGCGGCUUUUUAAGUCGGAUGUGAAAUCCCUGAGCUUAACUUAGGAAUUGCAUUCGAUACUGGGAAGCUAGAGUAUGGGAGAGGAUGGUAGAAUUUCAGGUGUAGCGGUGAAAUGCGUAGAGAUCUGGAGGAAUACCGAUGGCGAAGGCAGCCAUCUGGCCUAAUACUGACGCUGAGGUACGAAAGCAUGGGGAGCAAACAGGAUUAGAUACCCCAGUAGUCCCUGUCUCUUAUAC
RNAcentral lists this ribosomal RNA (301 nucleotides) under uncultured bacterium. Its description in RNAcentral is "partial 16S ribosomal RNA". It matches the Rfam family "Bacterial small subunit ribosomal RNA", at positions 509 to 807 of the family's 1533-position model. The record is from RNAcentral.